GACGAACGCUGGCGGCGUGCCUAAUACAUGCAAGUAGAACGCUGAAGAGAGGAGCUUGCUCUUCUUGGAUGAGUUGCGAACGGGUGAGUAACGCGUAGGUAACCUGCCUGGUAGCGGGGGAUAACUAUUGGAAACGAUAGCUAAUACCGCAUAAAAUGGAUUAUCGCAUGAUAAUCCAUUGAAAGGUGCAAAUGCAUCACUACCAGAUGGACCUGCGUUGUAUUAGCUAGUUGGUGGGGUAACGGCUCACCAAGGCGACGAUACAUAGCCGACCUGAGAGGGUGAUCGGCCACACUGGGACUGAGACACGGCCCAGACUCCUACGGGAGGCAGCAGUAGGGAAUCUUCGGCAAUGGACGGAAGUCUGACCGAGCAACGCCGCGUGAGGGAAGAAGGGUUUCGGAUCGUAAAGCUCUGUUGUAAGAGAAGAACGAGUGUGAGAGUGGAAAGUUCACACUGUGACGGUAUCUUACCAGAAAGGGACGGCUAACUACGUG
This 497-nucleotide ribosomal RNA is filed under the name uncultured bacterium. RNAcentral's name for it is "partial 16S ribosomal RNA". It matches the Rfam family "Bacterial small subunit ribosomal RNA", at positions 28 to 507 of the family's 1533-position model. The record is from RNAcentral.